RNAcentral lists this long non-coding RNA (2560 nucleotides) under Elaeis guineensis (African oil palm). RNAcentral describes it as "long non-coding RNA (EGUI_LNC039118)". Lineage: Eukaryota; Viridiplantae; Streptophyta; Magnoliopsida; Arecales; Arecaceae. The record is from RNAcentral.
CUUCCUAAUUCACCAUGAUCUCCAGCCACCAUCAUUUCCAUAAUAGCAAGAUGCAAUCAAGGUUGUUUUGUUCUUCCAAUUCACCAUGAUCUCCAGCCACCAUCAUUUCCAUAGUAGCAAGAUGCAGCCAAAGUUAUUUUGUUCUUCCUAAUUCACUAUGAUCUCCAGCCACCAUCAUUUCCAUAGUAGCAAGAUACAGCCACUAUCAUUUCUUUGUAGCAAGAUAUAGCCACCANNNNNNNNNNNNNNNNNNNNCCUCUCUUAUCUAUAUAAAGGGAGGCGACCUAUGUAUUCAAUUCAGAUUUCAAUGAAUGAAAAUGAGUGUUACUGAUUUCUCUUAUCUAACCCCUGUGUGUUAGUGGCGAGUUAUAAACCCUAGAACUUAUCACUCACAUUCUUCUUUUCUUGAGUGUGGCAUUCUACCCCUUUGUGAUCUGAUUGUGGUGAUUUUCUUAUCAAUCAGAUUCCAAGGUUUCUUUUUUUUUCUCUCUUUUUCUGUGCUCCAAUCUUUAUUCUUACCUACACAAGAUAGUUAUUUAGGCCUGGGCACAUCAGUUUGGUAUCAGAGCCUGAGGGAGUGUUUGACAUCCAAAUCAUGUCUGGAGGAGACGAGGCCCCUGUCAUUCUUAAAGGCAUGAGUCUGAAACAAGCUCAGAUUAUGGGGCUCCAACGGCGUCAAGAAGAGAUGAUGGAGCAACUCAAUCGCCUAACACAAGCGUUUGAGCGGUUGGCAACACUUCCCCCACCACCACAGCGGCAUGGCCAUCCAGCAUCACGACGAGUUGAUCGCAAUGAUGAAGAGGAGUAUGACGAACCCAGGGAUGAUGAUGGUGUGGAGAAACACCCAUGGCAAAGGCAGCAGCAAAGAAGUUUGGGAGACAAUAUUAAGAUGAGGAUCCCAUCCUUUAAAGGAACCAGCUCACCCGAAGAAUAUCUGGAAUGGGUGCAACAUGUGGAGAAGGUCUUUGAAUGUCCAGAUUAUUCUGAGGUAAAAAAAUGUAAACUUGCUGCCCUUGAAUUCACUGAUUAUGCUAAUCUUUGGUGGAAGAAUGUGAAAGCUCAGCGUAGGAGGGAUGGAGAAGAGAAAAUCCAGAACUGGAGGCUUAUGAAGCGGAUCAUGGAGAAGCGAUUUGUCCCUCAAUAUUAUAAGCAGGAGCUGUACAUCAAGUUACAAAGCUUGAGACAAGGGGGAAUGUGUGUUGAGGAUUAUGUCAAAGAAUUUGAGAUGCUGAUGAUGAGAUGCGAUUUGCGAGAACCUCAAGAACAGACCAUUGCAAGGUUCUUAGGAGGCUUGAAUAAGGAGAUUGCUGAUACGGUGGAGUUGCAAUCUUAUGUGUUCCUUGACGAUGUGAUCAAACUUGCUGUUAAGGUAGAGAGACAGCGCAAGUGUGGUGCAAGUAAGCCAAGUAAGACUACCAACUCAUCUUCCUUAUCACCAUGGUCCGUCCCUAAGGCAGUGCCAAAACAAGUAGAAAAAGGUGAUUCUAGCAAGCGAGUCACAGAUGCGGCCAAAGAAAAAGAGGUGGGGAAUUCACAACCUCCCAGACGAAGUCGAGAUNNNNNNNNNNNNNNNNNNNNGGUUUAUGGGUUUAAUCCUAUCACCCCACUUGAUUUGGCACCACUUUCAAUCAGCGAAAGAGUUUGUAUGGAUGGGAAGAAGAAAGCUGAGUUGGUUAAGUCCAUGCAUAAGAGCAUCAAGGAGCAAAUUGAGAGGAAGAAUGCGGCUUAUGAGAAGGCAGCCAACAGAGGAAGAAUACAAGUUCGCUUGGCUCCAGGUGAUCUUGUUUGGAUAUAUCUUCGCAAAGAACGAUUUCCAAACCAAAGAAAAUCUAAGCUCAUGCCGCGUGCUGAUGGUCCAUUCCGAGUUGUUGAGAAAGUGAAUGACAAUGCUUACAAGAUUGAAUUGCCUGGUGACUACAAUGUGUCCGCUACAUUCAAUGUUCGAGAUCUUUCUCCUUACUUGGAGGAUAGUUUGGAUGAUGAGGAAGACUUGGAUUUGAGGGCAAAUCCUACUCAAUAAGGGGGAAAUGAUGUGCACCAUCAUGAAGAAAGAGAUGAUCACAUGUCAUAUAUGGAUCCAAGAGCCAAAUUAAUGAUUUUGCUCACGUGCGUAGAAGCAUGAUGUGGUGCGAAUCAGAUUUGGCAGAAUUUGAAAGAAAUUAUUGCUUGAAAAAAGGGCCGAGUUUAGAAGCUUGUUUUGUUCUUCCUAAUUCACCAUGAUCUCCAGUCACCAUCAUUUCCAUAAUAGCAAGAUGCAAUCAAGGUUGUUUUGUUCUUCCUAAUUCACCAUGAUCUCCAGCCACCAUCAUUUCCAUAGUAGCAAGAUGCAGCCAAAGUUAUUUUGUUCUUCCUAAUUCACUAUGAUCUCCAGCCACCAUCAUUUCCAUAGUAGCAAGAUACGGCCACUAUCAUUUCCUUUGUAGCAAGAUAUAGCCCCCAUCAUUUCUAUGAUAGUCAAAUUCUGUUAUUUCCUUCCAUUUACUGAAUUUGUCUUAUGUUCCCUCUCUUAUCUAUAUAAAGGGAGGCGACCUAUGUAUUCAAUUCAGAUUUCAAUGAAUGA